UACGUAGGGGGCAAGCGUUGUCCGGAUUUAUUGGGCGUAAAGAGCGUGUAGGCGGUUUGGUAGGUCUGUUGUGAAAACUCGAGGCUCAACCUCGAGACGCCGAUGGAAACCAUCAGACUAGAGUCCGGAAGAGGAGAGUGGAAUUCCUGGUGUAGCGGUGAAAUGCGCAGAUAUCAGGAAGAACACCCGUGGCUAAGGCGGCUCUCUAGUACGGUACUGACGCUGAGACGCGAAAGCGUGGGGAGCGAACAGG
This 253-nucleotide ribosomal RNA is filed under the name uncultured bacterium. RNAcentral's name for it is "partial 16S ribosomal RNA". It matches the Rfam family "Bacterial small subunit ribosomal RNA", at positions 524 to 776 of the family's 1533-position model. The record is from RNAcentral.